Long non-coding RNA from Oncorhynchus tshawytscha (Chinook salmon), 2692 nucleotides. The record is from Ensembl. NCBI's taxonomy places the organism in Eukaryota, Metazoa, Chordata, Actinopteri, Salmoniformes, Salmonidae.
CUAAUUAACCAGCCAGAUUAGAAGGGUCUAGGAUUCCUUUGUAAGGCGCAGCAAAAAAAGACAAUCAGAUACAAUAUCAGGGAUCUUCCGGUAAGGCGUCUGGCUACCAUUAGUUUUGAAUACUGAGGAUUUGAGGAGAAAAAUGGCUGUGAGUUUUGAAAUGACUUUGAGAAUUUCUUGGAUUUGUUGCCUGCUAAUUGGAGGGAUAAACUGUUAUCCUCCACCUAAAGGUAAUUAUAGAUAUAUUCCCCAAAAUCAAUUAAAAGGAAUUGGCCACAAUGCAGCGGUAGCUACCAGCUCCCGUGCCUCGGCAGGUGAAGCUACCGGAUCCCGUGUCUCGGCAGGUGAAGCUACCGGAUCCCGUGUCUCGGCAGGUGAAGCAGCCACCCGUAAUGCCACUGCAAGCGUCACGACUGGCCCAAAUACCUUAGGUGGAGCAACCGGAUCCCGUGCCUCAGAAGCAGUCACCCACAAUGCCUCAGCAAGCGUCAAGACUGGCACAAAUACCUUAGCUGAAGCAACUAGCCACAAUGCUUCAUCAAGCGUCACGACUGGCCCAAAUACCUUAGGUGAAGCAACUGGCCACAAUGCUUCAUCAAGCGUCACGACUGGCCCAAAUACCUUAGGUGAAGCAACUGGCCAUGGUGCCUCGGUAGUGGAAGCAACUGGGCACAGUGCCAUGCCAGUGGCCACCCAUAAUGCCUCGGAAGCGGCCACCCACAAUGCUUCAUCAAGCGUCACGACUGGCCUAAAUACCUUGGGUGACAUAUCCGACCCAAGUGCCUCAGCAGAAGCAGCAACCCAUAAUACCUCAGCAAGUGCCACGACUGGCCCAAAUGCCUUACGUGAAGAAGCUGGACACAGUGCCUCGACAGCGGAAGCAACUGGCCAUAAUGCCUCGGAAGCGGCCAUCCAUAAUGCUUCAUCAAGCGUAACGACUGUCCCAAAUACCUUAGGUGAAGAAACCGGCCACAGUACCUCAUCAAGUCGGUACCUCAUCAAAUCUGGUUCAAAUGCCUCGGCGGAAGCCACAGGAGCCCUUGCCUCGGCGGAAGCCACAGGCGCCCUUGCCUCGGCGGAAGCCACAGGCGCCCUUGCCUCGGCGGAAGCCACAGGCGCCCUUGCCUCGGCGGAAGCCACAGGCGCCCUUGCCUCGGCGGAAGCCACAGGCCUCGAACAGGAGGGCCAACUCCUCAAGCAACAUGGAUUUUAGCAGCAGUGGUGUUUCUCAGGAUUUUGGGUCUGAUGGGGCCAAUGAAAGUACCCAAUGUCUCAGCUCCAUCAGCGUUCAAGGCAGCAUCGUUGAAUAGUCAGUUCUCAUCCCAAUAUAUUUACAAAUCUGUGUAUGAGAAUGGCAAGACUGUCUACUCCCAAACCUGCCACACCACUGGGGAGGUUAUACCAUUUUGAUAGCGGAGAUACUCUCAAGGACGUUGGCAUCUCUGAACCAAGCAUAUCCCCACCUGCUAAAAACUCACAACCUGCUAAAGGUGCCCUGCCACAAGGGAAGUCUACUGGGAUGUAAUGUGCAACUUUUACACUCACCUGCACUUUGCGUUCUGAUUUAGAAAUCAUUUGUACUAAUCAUCUAUCAACAGAAUUGCAAUGGUAGAUUCAUCCUUUAGAUGACAAAUCCAAGUUGUUGCUGACACUUUCUUUAAGCUUCCACUGUAUGCUUUUGCGUCGGCCAGGGAGAUGCUGCUGCUCAUGCUACCCUGCAUUACUUGUAAAACAAUAAAAUAUUGUACUUUAAGUGCCUCCUUGUGUUUUGAAAUACUGUGUGUUUAAUGUCUACCUUUGGCUAGCUGGUUGAGAACCGUGUUGGUUGCCAGUGCAAUUUGUAGUAAAAGGGAAUGUUCCUAUUCUUUUGGAUUUGAAAUAUAUAAUUUAUUUUCUUUGCUGCUGGUUGACAAAUCCCAAGAUUGGCUCUACGUUAAAGCCACUGACCAUCAAUAUCCCGUUCGGGAUACUAAAGUAUUUAUUUUGUGUUGACAUGUAAACAUCAAAUCCUGUUUUACAAAAACCUGAGAAAGCUUGUACCCUGGAGAUGGGCUACUGUGGCAUGUAACCAUCAAUUCUGUUUUUGUGGUGAAACGUCUCAUGGUUGUCUGACUCUGUCAAAUUCAUUUAAAGUGGGCUACUUGCUCAAUUUGAUCCACCAUUACUGAGCUUAAUGGCUAUGUUCACCCCUAAUUUAGAAAAGUUUCUGCUUACUUCCUUUUGGUAGGCCAUUUGUCAACUAUAUUUUAAUACAUGCAGCUUCUCUUCUGUCAUAACUUGUUGCCCCAGAAGACUAAAGUAGUGCUCACAAAUCUCUUACAUUGCUAGAAUAAAUGCAUUAGUCAUCUUAACAGGUAAAAUGAUUUAAGGACCAGGUAGCAUGCUAGAACACAGUGGAAACAUUGGUCCUGUGCCAAAUGUCAUUUUGACAGAUUUUAAGGAAAUGGAAUGCUGAGAAUGGUAACUUCAGUUAGUCUUGGGUGUGUAUUGAAUGUGAUUGAAAUGCGGUCUGCUUGCAAGUGUCAAAGAUGACACAUUACAUGUUCAUUUUCCCCGAGAGGCUGAGAAAUAUUUAUCCACUCCUGUUCCCAAGACAAUUUAAAGAUUCAAUUUUAUCAUUUCACUGCAACUGAAGUUAAUAUAAACUCUGCAAAAAAAGAAACGUCCUCUCACUGUCAACUGUUUAUUUCCA